RNAcentral lists this ribosomal RNA (774 nucleotides) under Triticum aestivum (bread wheat). RNAcentral's name for it is "partial small subunit ribosomal RNA". The record is from RNAcentral. Lineage: Eukaryota; Viridiplantae; Streptophyta; Magnoliopsida; Poales; Poaceae.
AUGAUCCGGAGGUUUACCCCGCCCGGUUCAAAAUUCUUUUGGGACGUACUGCACUUUUUCCAACUUCAUCCUCAAGAUAUUGGGCCCAAUUCUGUCUCCAAUAUUUGCAACUUCCAAGUCUUUUGUGAAGCUUAUCUUCAAGAAGAGCCCACUAUUGAAAUGUUCAGAGAAUUUUAUUACUUAAACCGGCAGACAAAGUUCACCGAUGGGCCCAGUUUGGAACUAGGCGGAGUUUCAAUUCAGAAGAGGAAAGAAGCCAUUUUCCCACAUGCCAAGCCGCCCAGUCACCCCAAGGACUGGAACCAGACUUGGUUCUAUUGCCAAGAUACAUCUCCACAAGGUGAGAAUCCUCUGCUGGGUUACCUUGAACACCGGCUCAACAACACACAUCCACUCCCACAGCGCAUCAGUACAAAGGAACGGGCCAAGUAUGUGCCUAUUUUUUCAAAGAUCAGAGCCUUCAUGGAUAACGGCUUAACUGGCAUCAACCUUGUUCAGUGUUGGUUCUCCUGGAGGAUCCUGCCAUUAAGCCACCGCCCCGGCUUAAUGUGUGAGUACACCGGCAACUUGAAAGAUCCCCAGCGCCACUGUGAAAUCCAAUUAUCUGACACUGAAGUCAAUGAAGCGACCAAGGCUUUGUUGAAUGAAAGCUGGGCAAAAUGCAGUAAAAUCGAACUUAGUCCUUUCUGCACUUUCAACCAGCCGCCAGCUGUAAGUGUUACACAUCAUUUUUUCGAUUUGAAUCCUGUUUUCAUUAACACUGUCCACUUAUGA